UCGGUUCGGUUUCAUAAUGCGGUUUAUUCGGUUUUAAAAAUAAUUGAGCUCAUUCCAAAAUAAACCCAACACAAGUGGAUUUUAUCUAGGAUUUAAAUAGCACAAUUUUAUACUAGUCUUUAAACUUUUAGUUUACUUAUGAACAAAAAAAUAAAACAAUAUAUCUUAAAACUUAUGAAAUUGCUGCAUUUUUCGGAAAUGGAUUGAACAAUCAUUGUUAACAUUUGUAUUCUAAAUUUCUACUCAUAUUAUAUCUAUCUUGCUGACAUGGAUACAGGGUCGUUCAAUGUAACAAAUGUCUUUGAGUUCCAUAAUGGACGGUGGUAUAUGGUUCAUCAUCACAGUUCUGUGAUGAAUGGGGAUGUAGAGCAACAAAUUAUGCAUGGAUAGUAAUAGUAAGAGAGAUGAUAUGUUAUUAUGUCUGAUACUGGUCUCAGAAAAGGAAAUUGCAAUGGGGCCAAAAAAGUGUGAAAAAUAGAUUAAGUGGAUUAAAGUAAAUACAAAAGAUCGAUGGAAAAGAUUACAUGUGAAACAACGUCCAAUACAUCGGUGAGACUUGUGAAAAACCAAGGUUGUGCAGUUGCAGGAGUUACUAAUUCAAAAGUAUAGUCCAAUUUUGGCGUGCAUUUUAGUUCUCUAGCAGUGUGUGCAUUUUUCAAUAUUGUAAGAGACAAGUCCAUUCCGGCAAUGCAAUAUCCAAUCAACCUUCAAUGCAAUAUCCAAUCAACCUUACCUAUA
Long non-coding RNA from Lathyrus oleraceus (garden pea), 738 nucleotides. RefSeq lists it as uncharacterized. The record is from RefSeq and is a predicted model, not a curated record. The transcript has 2 exons. Lineage: Eukaryota; Viridiplantae; Streptophyta; Magnoliopsida; Fabales; Fabaceae.